AAUAGAUACCCCGGUAGUCCACGCCGUAAACGAUGAGUGCUAAGUGUUAGGGGGGUUUUCCGCCCCUUUAGUGCUGCAGCUAACGCAUUAAGCACUCCGCCUGGGGGAGUACGGUCGCAAGACUGAAACUCAAAGGAAUUGACGGGGGGCCCGCACAAGCGGUGGAGCAUGUGGUUUAAUUCGAAGCAACGCGAAGAACCUUACCAGGUCUUGACAUCCUCUGACAACUCUAGAGAUAGAGCGUUCCCCUUCGGGGGACAGAGUGACAGGUGGUGCAUGGUUGUCGUCAGCUCGUGUCGUGAGAUGUUGGGUUAAGUCCCGCAACGAGCGCAACCCUUGAUCUUAGUUGCCAGCAUUUAGUUGGGCACUCUAAGGUGACUGCCGGUGACAAACCGGAGGAAGGUGGGGAUGACGUCAAAUCAUCAUGCCCCUUAUGACCUGGGCUACACACGUGCUACAAUGGAUGGUACAAAGGGCUGCAAGACCGCGAGGUCAAGCCAAUCCCAUAAAACCAUUCUCAGUUCGGA
This 527-nucleotide ribosomal RNA is filed under the name uncultured bacterium. RNAcentral's name for it is "bacterial SSU rRNA". It matches the Rfam family "Bacterial small subunit ribosomal RNA", at positions 777 to 1297 of the family's 1533-position model. The record is from RNAcentral.